CUCGUAGAGCUGGAAAUAUGCUAUGAAACGGGGAUUUCCGAAUGGGGAAACCUAACUAUGGUAAUGCAUAGUUGCUUAUGUCUGAAUACAUAGGACAUAACGCGAGACACCUUGUGAACUGAAACAUCUUAGUAGCAAGAGGAAAAGAAAAUAAAUAAUGAUUUCUUCAGUAGCGGCGAGCGAACGAGAAAGAGCCCAAACCAUUUUAAAUGGGGUUAUAGGACAGACU
RNAcentral lists this ribosomal RNA (229 nucleotides) under Escherichia coli. RNAcentral's name for it is "partial 23S ribosomal RNA". It matches the Rfam family "Bacterial large subunit ribosomal RNA", at positions 77 to 311 of the family's 2925-position model. Lineage: Bacteria; Pseudomonadati; Pseudomonadota; Gammaproteobacteria; Enterobacterales; Enterobacteriaceae. The record is from RNAcentral.